This 32-nucleotide non-coding RNA is filed under the name Rattus norvegicus (Norway rat). The record is from RNAcentral. Lineage: Eukaryota; Metazoa; Chordata; Mammalia; Rodentia; Muridae.
UACACUGGGCUUCCCCACAGAGGAAUGGUGGU